UUCACAGCAGGCUCCCAUGAUGUUAGCGGCGGACCGGUGAGUAACACGUGGCGUAACCUGCCCAUAAGACUGGGAUAACUCCGGGAAACCGGGGCUAAUACCGGAUAACAUUUUGAACCGCAUGGUUCGAAAUUGAAAGGCGGCUUCGGCUGUCACUUAUGGAUGGACCCGCGUCGCAUUAGCUAGUUGGUGAGGUAACGGCUCACCAAGGCAACGAUGCGUAGCCGACCUGAGAGGGUGAUCGGCCACACUGGGACUGAGACACGGCCCAGACUCCUACGGGAGGCAGCAGUAGGGAAUCUUCCGCAAUGGACGAAAGUCUGACGGAGCAACGCCGCGUGAGUGAUGAAGGCUUUCGGGUCGUAAAACUCUGUUGUUAGGGAAGAACAAGUGCUAGUUGAAUAAGCUGGCACCUUGACGGUACCUAACCAGAAAGCCACGGCUAACUACGUGCCAGCAGCCGCGGUAAUACGUAGGUGGCAAGCGUUAUCCGGAAUUAUUGGGCGUAAAGCGCGCGCAGGUGGUUUCUUAAGUCUGAUGUGAAAGCCCACGGCUCAACCGUGGAGGGUCAUUGGAAACUGCGAGACUUGAGUGCAAAAAAGGAAAAUGGAAUUCCAUGUGUAGCGGUGAAAUGCGUAGAGAUAUGGAAGAACACCAAUGGCGAAGGCGACUUUCUGGUCUGUAACUGACACUGAGGCGCGAAAGCAUGAGGAACAAACAGUAUUAAAUACCCUGGUAGUCCACGCCGUAAACAAUCACUGCUAACUGUUAGAAGNUUUCCGCCCUUUAGUGCUAAACUUAACCCAUUAAUCACUCCACCUGGCGAGUACGGCCGCAGGGCUGAUACUCAAAAGAAUUGANNAGNCCCCGCACCANNGCUCGAACCAUAUAGUUUAUUUCAAAGCGACCCCAANNAACCUUACCAGGGCUUGACGUCGUCUUACAGCCCUAAAGAAUAAAGACUUUUCCUUCCCCAACCGAAGUGACAAUUAUAGCAUGUUUUUCGUCAGCCCCNCUCCUGAAAUAUUGANUAAAGUCCCACAACGCACNACACCCCUUCAUCUUNUUUUCCCUCAUUUAAAUUAUNACCUNUAAGGUAAAUUCCCGUUACCACCCCNNAACAAACGGGGGANGGGACGUUAANUCUACCUCCCCNUUAUCACCUCCCCUA
Molecule: ribosomal RNA, 1171 nt
Filed under: Bacillus paramycoides
Lineage: Bacteria; Bacillati; Bacillota; Bacilli; Caryophanales; Bacillaceae
Description: bacterial SSU rRNA
Rfam family: Bacterial small subunit ribosomal RNA
Source: RNAcentral